UAGGGAAUAUUGGGCAAUGGGCGAGAGCCUGACCCAGCCAUGCCGCGUGCAGGAAGAAGGCCUUCUGGGUUGUAAACUGCUUUUGAUCGGGAACAAACCGUCCAUGCGUGGAUAUUUGAGUGUACCGAUAGAAUAAGCACCGGCUAACUCCGUGCCAGCAGCCGCGGUAAUACGGAGGGUGCAAGCGUUGUCCGGAUUUAUUGGGUUUAAAGGGUGCGUAGGCGGCCCUGUAAGUCAGUGGUGAAAUACUGCAGCUUAACUGUAGCAUUGCCAUUGAUACUGUAGGGCUUGAGUACAGAUGAGGUAGGCGGAAUUGAUGGUGUAGCGGUGAAAUGCAUAGAUACCAUCAAGAACACCGAUUGCGAAGGCAGCUUACUAAACUGUAACUGACGCUGAGGCACGAAAGCGUGGGGAUCGAACAG
This 422-nucleotide ribosomal RNA is filed under the name uncultured bacterium. RNAcentral's name for it is "bacterial SSU rRNA". It matches the Rfam family "Bacterial small subunit ribosomal RNA", at positions 355 to 775 of the family's 1533-position model. The record is from RNAcentral.